This 76-nucleotide transfer RNA is filed under the name Wolbachia endosymbiont of Aleurodicus floccissimus. Its description in RNAcentral is "tRNA-Ala". It matches the Rfam family "tRNA". From Rfam's summary of the family: Transfer RNA (tRNA) molecules are approximately 80 nucleotides in length. Their secondary structure includes four short double-helical elements and three loops (D, anti-codon, and T loops). The record is from RNAcentral. Lineage: Bacteria; Pseudomonadati; Pseudomonadota; Alphaproteobacteria; Rickettsiales; Anaplasmataceae.
GGGGGUAUAGCUCAGCUGGGAGAGCGCCUGCUUUGCACGCAGGAGGUCAGCGGUUCGAUCCCGCUUAGCUCCACCA